This 345-nucleotide unclassified non-coding RNA is filed under the name soil metagenome. RNAcentral describes it as "partial contains 5.8S ribosomal RNA, internal transcribed spacer 2, and large subunit ribosomal RNA". The stretch from base 1 to 120 matches the Rfam family "5.8S ribosomal RNA", at positions 35 to 154 of the family's 154-position model. The record is from RNAcentral.
GAUGAAGAACGCAGCGAAAUGCGAUACGUAAUGUGAAUUGCAGAAUUCAGUGAAUCAUCGAGUCUUUGAACGCACAUUGCGCCCCAUGGUAUUCCGGGGGGCAUGCCUGUCCGAGCGUCAUUGCUGCCCUCAAGCACGGCUUGUGUGUUGGGCCUCCGUCCUCCUCCCGGGGGACGGGCCCGAAAGGCAGCGGCGGCACCGCGUCCGGUCCUCGAGCGUAUGGGGCUUCGUCACCCGCUCUUGUAGGCCCGGCCGGCGCUUGCCGACACAUCAAUCUUUUUUCCAGGUUGACCUCGGAUCAGGUAGGGAUACCCGCUGAACUUAAGCAUAUCAAUAAGCGGAGGA